Non-coding RNA from Potamilus streckersoni, 73 nucleotides. NCBI's taxonomy places the organism in Eukaryota, Metazoa, Mollusca, Bivalvia, Unionida, Unionidae. The record is from the annotation of a GenBank genome assembly.
GCUCCGGUGGCUUAUUGGUUAGAGCGUGCACCUCGGAUGCGGGAGGUUUUGGGUUCAAUUCCCGGUCAAAUCA